GUUGCAUUUAUUGGAGACAGCUGAGAUUACCAGGUGCAUCGAUGCAGCACUUUCUUAGCUGGAAUGAAACUCAGUUCACCAAAUGUGUCUCUGCCGUGCAAACGUUCUGGUCUGGGAGAAGGAUGCCUCAUCACAAGAGUGUUCUCCAUGACGAUGUCGUAGUGAGGCCGACAGAAGACCCUGUUCUCCAGCAGUCCACACUCCUCUCCAGUGGAGAGCUGGCGCUUGCACGAGGCGCAGGAGAAACACGCUAGAUGGAAGGUGCUACCUUUUGCCCGACGCACCCAGUCAGUAGAGUGAAUGUUACGACCACACCGAGCGCAGCGAGUACCAUACCUCCUGAAGAAAACAAGAAAGGAAGGAGUUGGAAAGGGAUUGGCUUCAGUAUGACAUCUGAGAAGAACUGGGCUAACUAAAGCAGGGAGCUUCUUCUGGUUUAAGAAUCGGAUAGUUUGACCUCCACAAGUCAUUUGUGAAGGGCUGAAUGUGAAGCACACUCCCAACAAGAUCCCAGCCGAUUAUGUUCAACUUUGAAAGUUCUUCAUGUCAGACCUGAAGGAGGUAUCUGUCCACAAUUUCCUGGCCGCAGGAGGUGCACAGAGUUUUACCCUGCAACGAGCCCACCAUGGGAACAGAGGAGGAGGAUGAGGAGGAGAAGGAAGAUGGAGAGUAGGAGUCCUCCUCAAAAAGAUCAUCAGACCCAGAGGAGCCCUGUUAAAGAGCAAAGUGUUAUCAACUUUUUUUUUUUGAACAAUUGGCAGAAAUAUCAAAACAAUCUGAAAUUACACCUUUUUGUAAAGUUUCAUUUUUGUAAAAUCUUCAAAUAAUAAAAACCCUCUAAUUUUA
Molecule: long non-coding RNA, 846 nt
Organism: Oryzias melastigma (Indian medaka)
Lineage: Eukaryota; Metazoa; Chordata; Actinopteri; Beloniformes; Adrianichthyidae
Exons: 3
Source: RefSeq, a predicted model, not a curated record